Molecule: unclassified non-coding RNA, 293 nt
Filed under: uncultured fungus
Lineage: Eukaryota; Fungi
Description: partial contains 5.8S ribosomal RNA, internal transcribed spacer 2, and large subunit ribosomal RNA
Source: RNAcentral
AACGCAAAUUGCACUUCCUGGUAUUCCGGGGAGUAUGCCUGUUUGAGGGUCGUUUUAAAUUAAAUCGGUGCGUUGCUUUUUUUGGUGACGCGUCGGGGUUGGGUUAUCUUAGCUCCUUGGUUAAGAGACCUAAAAUUUGACUCUUUUUGCGCAUUCUAGACGUGUAAAUUUUUUUUCAGUCUCGCUAUGCUCAAGACCAUUCUUCAUUAGGUGCGGUCAUGUUCAAUAUGAUCUCGUGCCUAUGAUUUUCGUUUUUCGACCUCAAAUCAGGUAGGGACACCCGCUGAACUUAA